CAAUAGCGUAUAUUAAAGUUGUUGCGGUAAAAAAGCUCGUAGUUGGAUUUCUACCGAAGAUAGCCGGUCGGGUCUUCGACCUUGUAUCUGGUUUUGUCUUUGGUAUCCUCAUAGGGAACGUUUCUGCGCUUUAUUGCGUGGUGCGGUAUCUAUGACUUUUACUUUGAGGAAAUUAGAGUGUUCACGGCAGGCAAACGCCUUGAAUAUAUUAGCAUGGAAUAAUAACAUAGGAUCUUCGUCCUAUUUUGUUGGUUUCUAGGGCUAAGAUAAUGAUUAAUAGGGAUAAUUGGGGGCAUCUGUAUCAACGCGUCAGAGGUGGAAUUCUUGGAUUGCGUUGCGACAAACUGCUGCGAAAGCAUUUGCCAAGGAUGUUUUCAUUGA
RNAcentral lists this ribosomal RNA (381 nucleotides) under uncultured eukaryote. RNAcentral's name for it is "partial 18S ribosomal RNA". It matches the Rfam family "Eukaryotic small subunit ribosomal RNA", at positions 592 to 976 of the family's 1831-position model. The record is from RNAcentral.